This is a non-coding RNA of Xyrichtys novacula (pearly razorfish), 234 nucleotides long. The record is from the annotation of a GenBank genome assembly. NCBI's taxonomy places the organism in Eukaryota, Metazoa, Chordata, Actinopteri, Labriformes, Labridae.
GCUGGAAGAGAGAAGGUGAGUUGUGUUUAGUCUCUUUGCUAAAGAAAUGAGUCAAAGCUAAAAAGAUGUUUGGUGUCUAGUACUAUGUCUGUGACCCUAUAUGUCCUGUUGAUGAAGUUAGGUGCUGUUCUGAGCAUUAUUUGUGGCUGUAGAGUGGCGUUUUGGUUGAGCGCGUGGCUCUCUGUAUUGCUAUCCUGUGGUCGUUACUAAAGUUGGUAUAACUAGAGAAGCAAG